RNAcentral lists this ribosomal RNA (467 nucleotides) under uncultured bacterium. RNAcentral's name for it is "bacterial SSU rRNA". It matches the Rfam family "Bacterial small subunit ribosomal RNA", at positions 28 to 490 of the family's 1533-position model. The record is from RNAcentral.
GAUGAACGCUAGCGGCAGGCUUAACACAUGCAAGUCGAGGGGCAGCACGGGUAGCAAUACCUGGUGGCGACCGGCGCAAGGGUGCGUAACGCGUGAGCAACAUGCCCUAUACAGGGGGAUAAUCCAGGGAAACUUGGUCUAAUAUCCCAUAGUAUUUAGAGGAGGCAUCUUCUAUAAAUUAAAGCUUCGGUGGUAUAGGAUUGGCUCGCGUGACAUUAGCUAGAUGGUGAGGUAACGGCUCACCAUGGCAAUGAUGUCUAGGGGUUCUGAGAGGAAGGCCCCCCACACUGGGACUGAGACACGGCCCAGACUCCUACGGGAGGCAGCAGUGAGGAAUAUUGGACAAUGGAUGGAAGUCUGAUCCAGCCAUGCCGCAUGCAGGAAGACAGCCCUAUGGGUUGUAAACUGCUUUUAUAUGGGAGCAAUAAGGUCUACGUGUAGACUGAUGAGAGUACCAUAUGAAUAAG